UGCUAUGGUUUGCUGUAGAGUGCCUUGGCA
This 30-nucleotide non-coding RNA is filed under the name Rattus norvegicus (Norway rat). Lineage: Eukaryota; Metazoa; Chordata; Mammalia; Rodentia; Muridae. The record is from RNAcentral.